AAUGAACGCUGGCGGUAGGCCUAACACAUGCAAGUCGAACGGCAGCACAGUAAGAGCUUGCUCUUACGGGUGGCGAGUGGCGGACGGGUGAGGAAUACAUCGGAAUCUACUUUUUCGGGGGGGAUAACGUAGGGAAACUUACGCUAAUACCGCAUACGACCUACGGGUGAAAGCAGGGGAUCUUCGGACCUUGCGCGAUUGAAUGAGCCGAUGUCGGAUUAGCUAGUUGGCGGGGUAAAGGCCCACCAAGGCGACGAUCCGUAGCUGGUCUGAGAGGAUGAUCAGCCACACUGGAAGUGAGACAGGGUCCAGACUCCUACGGGAGGCAGCAGUGGGGAAUAUUGGACAAUGGGGGCAAGCCUGAUCCAGCCAUACCGCGUGGGUGAAGAAGGCCCUCGGGUUGUAAAGCCCUUUUGUUGGGAAAGAAAAGCAGCAGGUUAAUACCCCGCUGUUCUGACGGUACCCAAAGAAUAAGCACCGGCUAACUUCGUG
This 492-nucleotide ribosomal RNA is filed under the name uncultured bacterium. RNAcentral's name for it is "partial 16S ribosomal RNA". It matches the Rfam family "Bacterial small subunit ribosomal RNA", at positions 29 to 507 of the family's 1533-position model. The record is from RNAcentral.